AUUAACAUCAAAUAUUUUAUUAUAUAAUCCCAUUUUUUUAUUUAUUUUUUAAAAAAUUGCAAGAUAUAUUUGUAAAGGUGUGUGGCACAUAGUGUUUAUGUAGUAAAAAGGAGGUGUCUAUUUAGAUUUUUUUUUUUUUUUUUUUUUUGCAAUUAUGAAGUAAAUCUUUAAAUAUACUUAUAAAAUAGAAUCACAAAUAAUUUUGAAGAUUGAAAAAUUAAAAAAAAAUCAAAAUUCAAAAAUUAUAGUCCUUGAGUGAAAAUAAUUUUUAAUUAAGAUUUAAACAAGAAAAUGAAUUGCUAUUACAAUUAGCUAGAUAGAAAGAGAUAAUAUUUUUUAAAAUUAUAACAUGUAAUUUUAUAAUAUUUUUUUUAAUAUUUAAAUUUGAAUAAAUAAAUAAAUCUUUAGUGAAUUUAAUUGGUAGUUAAAUUAGUCAUUAGGGUCUUUAUAUUGAAUACAGAAAACAGAAUUUUUCAAUAAAAAAUUUGUGAAUAAAUAAAAACAUAAAAAAUAAGUAUUAUAAAUUUUUACACAAAUUUAUGAAAACUCAAAAUAGAGACUAAAUUCGAGCAAUGAACUAAGUUUAGUUUUACAUAUUUUUGAGAAUUAUUUUGAGAUAAGAAGAUUAUUACAAACAAGUAAAUUUACAAAAUAUAUAAGAUUUAUGUUAAAUCCAAUUGCUUAGAAAAUAUAUUAUAUAGUUUAUAUUAGAUAUAAAAUUAAAAAUAAUAUAAUAUAUAUAUUUAUUUAAUAUAUUUUUCUACCACAAAUAAAAAAAUUAUAUAAUUUAAUAUUGUAAUAUUUAUAAUUUUCAAAAAGACACUUCUCUCUUAUUUUAGACAUGUGUAUAAUUAAACAAUCUCAAAGAAUCUCACAAUAGAUAUUUAAUUGUAAUUUUAGUAAAGAAAUAUUAGUAUUUUUUUAAAAAAAAUUCAAUUUUAUUUACUAGUAAAUAUUUAUAACGAUAUAUAAUUAUAGAUUAGUAGAGAAAUAUUAAUGUUUUAAUUAAUCUUAAAUUUUGAAAGAAAAUAUGUUUAGUGCUCAGUUAUUUAUGAGUACAAAGUAUCAAUUAUUGUCAACUAUAUUUUCCAAAAAAUUAAUAAAUGUUGUUUAGUAACAAAAAUCCGUAUUAUUUUAAAAUAUCAUAUUUUUUAUUUAACUAUUUUCUCAUAAAUGUGGCCUUGUUUUUUUUUUUAAAAAAGUCUUUGUAACAUUGAAAUACUAAUAAUGCACACACAAGCAUACAUAUAUUUAGAAUGUUUAAUUAUAUUUUAAAACCUAUUUACUUCUUUUUUUAACUAUAUUUUUGUUCAAUGUAAAAUAAUAUAUAACUCAUAUCCUGCAACAAAAUAACACUUGCAAAAGGGCUGUAAUUUUGCCUUUGUAACAUCCUUUGUAACAAUGUAAUUCCAGUAUAUUUCAAUCUAAUUGAAAUAAACAAUCUAAGAUUUUACCAUAAUUCAUGAAUAUUACCAUUCACUACUCACUAGAUAUACAACAACAUUAGGUGGAUGACUAAAGAAGAAACAACCAAAUAUUUUUUUACUUACUUUAUUUAUUUUUAUCAAUUCCUAACAUAUGAAUAAAGGCGGAUUCCCCUUAUUAAGAGUAUGAAUAAAGGGUUUAGAGUAUCAAUGAAACUUUAUUGAGCUAGAAUGGAAGAAACCCUAAAUCCUCACAAAGGAAGGAAGAAAGGAAGGACCUCUAAAGGCCUCAAUAAGACACGACGAGACAAAUAAAUAUAUAUAUAUAUAUAUAUAUAUUAUAAUCAUGGUAUGUGAAAAUGAGGAAUAGGAGGCAAGGUCGGCCAACGUGUGGGGCGGACGGAAAUAGGCACCACUUCUUCCGCGCGGCAUAGGGGCCAGAGCCGGUGGCCACGUCAGCAACGAUGCCCGUCCACGUAAGAGAAAGCUUCCCUUUAUAACCGCCCACCCUAAUUUUAUUCCCGACGACGACGACCCCCACUUCCUUCCUUCCGUCUUUCCUUCGUCGGAGAAAUAAGAAUAAGAAUAAGAAUAAUACCAAUACUGCCUCCCUCCGAAGAGAAUUUUGAAUUGCGAAGAAGAAGAAGAGUAUAAAUGGGAUAGAAAAGGAAAAAAUGGGAAGGUAAUACAACAGAAAGAAAGAAAGUAAGAAUGGAUGGAUGGACAUUAUCUCGACCACCUCGUUGCUUGCUUGCUUGAUUCCCCGCCCUCCUUCACAACAAUCUCGAUCGAUCGAUGAUACAUGGCCAGCCCCGUCUCGGAAUCCGCGACAGCUGUGCGGACGCGUCGCCUUUGGGGACGACGACGACGACUAUGCUUCUUCUUCUUUUUUUUCAUUUUUUUGUUUUUUUUUCUGCUCCGAAAGAGAGAGUGCUUAAUCUGGUGUCAUCACGCAGAUUUGAGACAACUCAACACUCGGAUCUCACUUCCCCGCUUCUGCUUUUCGUUAAAAAGGUGGUUCCGCCCCCACCAACUGUGGUUGUUGCACAUGGAAGGAACCGCUCGCCCUCCAACCUGGCCUGUAAGAUUCUCGCGCUCUUAACCCUCUUUUUUCUAAACGAACUCAUGCUAAAACAGACGGAUAGUUACGAGGGUUGCGUUUCUUACGUUUGCAGAACACGGAGCAAUUACAGUAUAAUCGGUAUAUUACGGAGUUGAUUCAUGGUGAUCUAAAAGCGAUUAUUAUGGUUUGUGAAAUACUGGUGAGAAUUUACUAUUUGCAAGAUUGAAUUGGGGCUUGGUUUGUCCUCCGAAGUGGGUUUUUGCGACUGUAUGGAAGGAUAUCCAUGCCCCGUCGUUUGUCUGCAUUUCUUAGAGUCAUUGGAUGGCACUGAUGGAUCUGGAUCCACAAGUGGUGCUUCGGCGCUAGAUUCACAGAAUAGUCAAGCCUUGAAUUUCUCCAUGCGGUGGGCGGAAUUGAAAUUCGCAAUUUUCCCACCCGAUCCACUGUCAGACUCCUGCAACUUGGUCCUCGCCCAUCUUAUAUUGGCAUGUAUUUUGAUCUCAGACAACCAGUAAGCUUCUCACGGCAUCUCCUCAUUUUCCAUUCCCUCGCAAUAUUUAAAUGAAAAUUAGAGUUUGGUGGACUCGGCUUGACAUAAAAUCAUUCCACGCAAUUUCCAAGAGAAAUUAUCUGCCGGAGAUUCCACUUGGCAGUCUCGAGGUGGAAGUCUACUUCAGCUUUCUCCACCUUCUGGACGCAUGCUCCCGUUUGAUGC
RNAcentral lists this long non-coding RNA (3202 nucleotides) under Physcomitrium patens. RNAcentral's name for it is "long non-coding RNA (PPAT_LNC011547)". The record is from RNAcentral. Lineage: Eukaryota; Viridiplantae; Streptophyta; Bryopsida; Funariales; Funariaceae.